Long non-coding RNA from Larimichthys crocea (large yellow croaker), 1959 nucleotides. RefSeq lists it as uncharacterized. The transcript has 3 exons. Lineage: Eukaryota; Metazoa; Chordata; Actinopteri; Sciaenidae. The record is from RefSeq and is a predicted model, not a curated record.
UCUUCAGAAUUGUACAUACACUGUAUAAAAAGACAUAGUGAGUUUUUUUUCUCACUGUCUGAAAUGAAAUCAGAUUAAACUUUUCCUGUUUUAGGUAAAUUUGGAUGAUUAAAACUAUUUCUAUUUGCUAAAUGCCAGAAUAAUGAGAGAAUGAUUUUUUUUAGACAAUUUCUUGUUACUUUCUUGAAAGUCAGAAGUUUAUAUACAUUUCAUUAGUAUUUAGUACCAUUGUGUUUAAACUGUAUGACUUGGGUCAAACCUUUUAAAUAUCCUUCCACAAGCUUUUCACAAUAGUUGGCAGAAUUUUGGCCCAUUCCCCGCGACAGAACUGAUGUAACUGAUCCAAGUUUGCUCGCACAUGCCUUUUCAGCUCUGCCCAUACAUUUUCAAUAGGAUUGAGAUCGGGCUUUGUGAUGGCCACUCCAAAAUAUUGUUCUUUGUUCUUUCCUCAUGAUGCCAUCUGUUUUGUGAAAUGCACCAGUCCCUCCUGCAGCAAAACAACCCCACAACACGGGGUUGCAACCGCCGUAUUUCAUAGUUGGGAUGGUGUUCUCAGAGUAAUGGCUUCUUCCUGGCAGAGCGGCCUUUCAGCCCAUGUCGGUGGGCUGACACACUCUUACAGCUUCAGCCAGCAUCUUCACAAGGUGAAGUCCAGGAGAAUAAAGACAACUGAGAGAAGACUGAGAGUUCCAUGAGUGUCCGCAGACAUCAUUGUUGGUACAAAGGCAGAACACACACAUGACCUGAAUGUGUGCAUGCGUGUUGCAGUCGUCACAGUAGCUUUGGAGCAUCUGAGCAGGACAUGGACCAUUCAGGAUCAGUAGAACAGAUCUGUAAAAAGAAUUAUGUGAAUGGAUAUGUGUGAGAAAGCACCAUGACUAAUCAUGAGCAAUGUUUUGAGGUAAACUUUGACCAAGACACAUAGCAUUUAUAACACUUAUUUUUGAAAAAGACAAUUACAUGAAAAACCCAUGCAUACUUACUCAAUGACUGAGAAUGAUGACUUGAAAACAUGAAUGGUAGUAGACAGCACUUGGAUGUUUUUGUGGUUUAACACGAUUUGCCAAAGCAGCCUACAACUUGAAAUCCAGGUGUUUGAGCAGGAAAUGGAUGAAGUAGAUGAGUCUGUGACUGGAGCCUGAGUGCCUGAGUUAUGGGGUCCCUGUGAAGCUGUGCAUUCAAACAUGACAGAGCUGUUAGCUACGUGCUACUACUCAGCAUGUUUAUUCUUUGCACAGGUUUACAUGUUUACAUAUAUGCACAAUUGCACAAAUUACGUGUGGAUUUUUCUCAAUAUAUAACCAAACUGUAACUCAUAACCAGCUAUGUUUAUGCUGAUGAAACCUCAAACAUACACAUACACUCUGGUUUAGCUGUUUUUGUAGGCGCAAACAUUUGAUACUAAACAAUAAUGUGCAGGUUGUACAAUUCCAACCUCCACUUAAUGGUUGUGAUAUACUGUUUACAGGUUCAUAGUUGAACUGAUCCUAAUUUUUUAAAUCAUACAUUUUGCACACUUGUGGAUUCAAACACAAGCGAGUAGUUAGCUACUUGCUGUUACUCAGCGUGUUUGUUAUCUGCACAGGCACAGAGCAGAGCAGAUUUUCUCAUUUUGAUCCACUGGUGUUAGAGCACCCUCUUAUGACGCAAAUUGGUACUGUUGUAAUUAAAACUGUCUAUGUUGUUACUUACAUGUUCAAAUAUUAAAAUGCAAAGGGAAUGUCUGUUAACAUUAUGAACUAUGUAUUCAUACAUAUGCAUAACAUUCAGUAUGUUUUUUUGAAAAUAAGACAUACUUACAUAGCAGGAUUCCUCUUCUGGGACAGCUGACCUCUGACCUGUCUGGUUGUCUGUGAAUGCCUGUGCCACUGGCCACGAGCCUCUCAAUGGAACGUAGUGUGUUUCACAACAGUGCACAUACUUUUGGUUAACAGGUAAAAGACAAGAUACAUGCCUUCA